UGCCCAGCAACUCCUAUCCCUACCUCCUCGUGGUACUGGACGGGGUACGAGUAACCUUAGGGAAGA
RNAcentral lists this ribozyme (66 nucleotides) under Aedes aegypti (yellow fever mosquito). RNAcentral's name for it is "drz-agam-1 ribozyme". It matches the Rfam family "drz-agam-1 ribozyme". The record is from Rfam by way of RNAcentral. Lineage: Eukaryota; Metazoa; Arthropoda; Insecta; Diptera; Culicidae.